RNAcentral lists this transfer RNA (80 nucleotides) under Rhizobium skierniewicense. RNAcentral describes it as "tRNA-Phe". Lineage: Bacteria; Pseudomonadati; Pseudomonadota; Alphaproteobacteria; Hyphomicrobiales; Rhizobiaceae. The record is from RNAcentral.
GCGCAAGUGAUUGAAUGAGGCUGAACAACACGGGAUUGAAAAUCCGCGUGUCGGUGGUUCAAAUCCGCCUUCGGGCACCA